RNAcentral lists this ribosomal RNA (230 nucleotides) under uncultured bacterium. Its description in RNAcentral is "partial 16S ribosomal RNA". It matches the Rfam family "Bacterial small subunit ribosomal RNA", at positions 562 to 791 of the family's 1533-position model. The record is from RNAcentral.
AAAGGGUGCGUAGGCGGUUUGACAAGUCUCAUGUGAAAUCUUCGGGCUCAACUCGAAGUCUGCAUGGGAAACUGUCGGGCUUGAGUAUGGGAGAGGUGAGUGGAAUUUCCGGUGUAGCGGUGAAAUGCGUAGAUAUCGGAAGGAACACCUGUGGCGAAAGCGGCUCACUGGACCAUAACUGACGCUGAGGCACGAAAGCUAGGGGAGCAAACAGGAUUAGAUACCCUAGU